Triticum urartu is the source of this 818-nucleotide non-coding RNA. The record is from RefSeq and is a predicted model, not a curated record. NCBI's taxonomy places the organism in Eukaryota, Viridiplantae, Streptophyta, Magnoliopsida, Poales, Poaceae.
CAACCCAAAUCGAUUCGUCCUCAUCCUCUCGGCGCGCCCGAGCUCCUCUCUCCCCAUCCCGCUCUAGCCUAGCUCUGUUCUCGCCGCGAGCGCCUCCCCUCUCUGUCCAUGACCUGACCAUCCCGUUCAACAGAGCUGCUGCUGCUACGAGGCCGCCGGUACUGCAGCCGUGGACGGUGACGCAAGGCGGCGCCGCUCCCCGGACAUGCUGAUUUUUCUCAUGGUGUGGGCUGCGAAGGGUGCUGCAGCCGUCGAUGGUGUCGAUGGCCGGCGGGCUGCAACAACCGAUGAAGCAAAGAGGGACUCGCCGGCGUUGCGAUGAAGCAUCACUGGAACUGCAGGCGCCGGAGCUGCAAUGAAGCGCCGCGGGUCGUCGGAGCUCCGUCGUGGUUGCAAUGAAGCGUUGCUGGAGCUGCAAUGAAGCACCGCGGAAGCUCCGCCGGGGCUGCAAUGAAGCGUCGUGGGUCGUCGGAUCUUCGCCGAGACUGCAAUGAAGCCUCGCCGGAGUUGCAAUGAAGUGCUGCCGGAGCCAUUGAAGCUUCGCCGGGUAGGCAAUGAAGCGUGGUCGGCGCUGCCAUGGAGCACCGUUGGUAUUGCACGCUGCUUCCAUGGAGCUGUUGUGUAACGUGUAGUGUUGCCGUGGGAGCGCCUAAUCGUGUGUCAGGGAGCGUCAUAUCCAACGUGGAGGCAGCUUAAAUUUGGCUAAAUCAGCCGGCUGAUUGAUAGCAGCGGCCGUUCUGUAAUUGUGAGAUUGUAAGGUGGAGAAAAGGAGAAAAUAAAUAAAGAGGGAGGGAAGGAGAGGCUUGCCUUUGGUAAAA